Molecule: long non-coding RNA, 1799 nt
Organism: Mesocricetus auratus (golden hamster)
Lineage: Eukaryota; Metazoa; Chordata; Mammalia; Rodentia; Cricetidae
Exons: 2
Source: RefSeq, a predicted model, not a curated record
UUCCUUCCUUUCACCUUUUUCGAGGCUUCGCCCGAGGAAAGCCGCGGGACGCUAGGUACCGAGUGGUUUUCGGGCUGCUUUGAAAGAAAAUCUGUUUCUACCCGGUGGCUUCGCAAGUAGAGCAAAAUGCCUAACGAGGACGGUAGCGGGUGCAGUCCCUGUCGUUGCUGAGUGCGUGCCUGGGGUCGGGCUCGUCGAUGUUCACUUGUUAGGUGUCACCCCCAGUUUACAGGUCGACACUCGGGAUACAGUAGUUUGCUAUAGCCAAGCCGCAGGUAAGUUCUCAGAACAGCAGUCGUUAGUCAGAAGACGACUCCGGUCCUGCUUUAAAUGCAGCGUUUCUUUCGCUGUCGCAUUCUUUUUUAACUGAACCAAACCCUUUCCAACAACGGUGCUUGCCCAACAUGUAUUCUUCCACUUCAUUUCUACGAGUGUAUGCACGUUUUGUGCUAGCCGCUGAGAGUAUAAAAACUGGAAGCAUCGUCCAUAUAGCUUGCAAUUCUCAGUUCUUCCCCGCCCCCCCCCCCCCCGGAGCUGAGGACCAAACCCAGGGCCUUGGGCUUGCUAGUGCUCUACCGCUGAGCCAAAUCCCCAACCCGUCAGUUCGAUUUUUUUGUAUGCUUAUUACACAUGCAUUCACCUGCCAAGAGUAAUGAGUUGGGGUCCUCUUAAACGAGCUUUUUCAUUUCUCUGUGUCUGAAUAUGUUGUUUGCCCUCCACAAACUAUUCUGCUCUCUCCAUCCUCUCAAUAGUUACGUUCUCUGAACACAUUUGGAAAAUAUCUGACCAUAUACCUUCUCUCUUGAAGUAAAUUGAUUUUCUUUACCGUAGCUUUUUAAAUACUAGUAACUGACAUUUCUUGAGUUUAUAUGACCAGUCUAACAUUGUAUUCAGUGCUUUGUAUUAGUUUUAUUGUUGCUAAACCUUGACUGUUUUUUCAUUCUUAUUUUAAAAAGCAUCAAAUUGCUUGAGGAUACACAGUAAGUAGUAAAUACCUACAUUAGUAUUUCAGCCACAUCCUUGAUUUUUUUUUGUUUUGUUUUUUUGCACACUCCCCUCAACACCUGAUUUCCUCAAACUUUUAUUAGAUUAUGUCACACAUCGUAAUCACCUACUUAACAUUUGGUUUUAACCCCUUCUUAAGGAGGUGAACCUUCUGGAAGGUAAGCAUUCAGUCUUCCACAUCUGGGUGUUCCUGGCAUCUAGAAUAUUGACUUCAAGAGAAGAGCUGCUCAGCAGCCACUGUGUUGUUGAGCUGGGGUUGGUCUGGUUGUCUGGUGAGUGAACUGAUAGGCUAACAAAGUUUUUUCACUGUUGGAAGGGGAUUAUGGGAUUAGUCAUUCCAGUCUAAUUUUUCUCUUUUUCUUUUUAGAACUGGGGCAAUUGAGACCUCUUGUGGGACAGGUAUUUAUUGAAUUACAUAUGUGAAACCAGUGCCUAUCACAACUGAACUGCAAAUCAUUUUAAACCUAAUCUGUACUGUGUUUAUUUCUUACAGAUGAAGAAACAGGUCACAUUUGAUCAGGAUGACAUUAGUAGGACUUGGGGAUUUGGAACCUACUAUGGCUAACUCUAAACUAACAUACUGCUUAUAGCUACUACAAAUAGCAAAGGCUCAAUUUCUGGACUAUGCUAUAUAGAAUAGAUAAGCCUACACAAUGAACACAGCAAAUCUGAAAGAGAAGAAGAGGAAACAGUGUUGGAAACAAGGGGAGCAUGUUACAGAUAUAGAGGUUUUUAAAAAAUCAAAAAUGAUUUUAUACAACCCAUACUAAUAAAUUUGGCAAAUUGACUGAUAA